CACGUGUCUUAAGCUCCGCCCACGGACAGUUCAUUUAGACUCCACCCCCUCACCUCACGUUGCUGAAAUGAAAAGCAGAUGGAAGAAGUUAGGAAUCAUUUUGCAUCAGUAGUGUUGCUGUGAGCUGAAUCGGCACUGCCUGUGCAACAUUUGGCAAAGUAAGUGAACGCUACGUUAUAUCUUCAUUUUUAAUGAGCUAAUGGCUAACUAGCUAAUUGGCACGAGGAGCCCCCACACGUAGGCCUGCUGGCCCCCAGCAAAGGACUUGAUAUGCUGUACAAGAUACAAGAUAUCAAGAACGAUGCAUCUUUAUUUUUCUUCUUGAUUUACAGAAAACCUUUGAGUCUUACAUGAAUGUGAGGUGGAUGGAGAUGUCUUUGAUGAGCUUGUCAAGUCAGGUGUUUUGACUUUCAAGGUCCUUUUAUCAGUGACAGGUAAGGAUGUGAAAACAUGUGAAAAUGCAUGAGGUGGUUUAGAUAUCACAGGCAGUGUGGACCCAUCAGGUACCUUGGCUUUGUCCAAAUGAGAUAUUGUUGUUGUGAUCUUUGAGGCCUCAAAAUGUAUUUUUGGUCUCACUUUACAAUAAGGUACACAAAAAUACAGUAGUUACUGAGGAACUAAAACAAAUACAGUACAUUUAGAGUAGUUAGUAAUGAACGAAUGAGUAGUGGUUAGGGUUAGAUAGGUUUGUUCCUCAUUCCUCAUCCUGCACGACUGUCAUUGUGUGUACCUUAUUGUAAAGUGAGACAGUAUUUUCAUUUGAUAUUCAAUUUUUAGCCCCUUUUCCAUAGGUUGAAAUUCCCCAAAAUUAUAUUUUUUGUUUUAGUUGUAAUUAGUGUUUUGUACUGUUUUGUAGAGUAAGAGAUUCAUUUGACUGGAGAUGAUGCAGGACUCCACUAUCCCCAGCUUCACCCCAGUCUCCACUCUUGCCUGCUACAUCCAUUCAUCAGGUUCGACAAUUUAUCCUUCAGCCCACAAGAAAGAGGAACCCAACAGAACCAAUGGAUCAGGAUGAAUCAAGACAGGAAAGUCGGUGGUGUUUCGAGGGCCAAUCCGAAAGGUGAGGAAAUCUUCAAGGAGUGCAACAAGACUAAAACACUACCUGAUGCAAGGUGUAAACAGAUGGUAAACAUCCUGGUUGGAGAUAUGAUGGAGCUGCAUGGGUCACUUCUCCCUUUCCAUUAGAACAGUCAUUCCACACUGUCAUCAACUGCAGUAAGACCUUGUAGUGGGAAUGGUUCUGUGAUCAUUAACGAUGACGUGUUUUGAAAGGAGGGGUUCCGCCAUCAUGUGUGAUGACAAAUUACGCCCUGAGAAUUGUGACUUGUUUUCCAUACAUCAAAGAUCCAUUCUCCAAACCUGGAUAUGAUGCUUAGCUUAGCGGCAGUGGCUCAGGAGGUAGAGCAGGUCGUCCAGAAAUCAUAAGGUUGGUUGGAUCCUUGCUCCCUCCACCCAGUCACUGUUGUGCCCUACACUUCUCCUGGCUCUCAAAGUUGUUCCAAGACUGUUUCUUCAGGAUGGUCCAAAAACCAGAGGAGAAUAUCUGUUAACUGGUCAACAGCUGUUUGAAGAUGAGAGCAACUUUCAGUAUCGACAAAAUAUGAUCCAAGCAGAAGAUGGAUAAUCGUCUGUCCUCGAUGUGUUCCCUCGCUUCCUUGAUGUUCCUGGACUGGUUUUGGACUAUUUGGACUAAUUGACCAGGAUUUCUCAAUGAUGUUUGCUGAUGAAGUAUCUGAGGUUCCUGGCAAGUGGUCAACUGUCUUCAAAGCAAAAGUCAUUGCAGACUGCAAGACUCUCCCGCAAAAGCAGAACAUUGAUGAGUUGCUGUCAGGAACUGAACCUCAACCUGAUGACAGCUGUGGCUGGGACAGUGAUACAUCCUCCAUCCUUCUACUCCUGCAUCUGCUCCCUCGACUUCUAGAGGCCAGGAAAAAAACAGCAAAGCUCAGUUUUUCAAGCAGCCAACCAUCUUCUCAGACAUCUUAAGGCAUGCAAAGGAAGGAGCCAGUGUGACCCCCUUCCAAGACUGUUGACACAAGACAGCCAUUUUUCCUCUGCAUCAGUGAGCGAAGGUGACAUCCAGAGGUUCUACAUGAUUGACCAAAAGCCGGUUCCAUGCAAGGCACAUACAUUUUUUGCAGCUUUUGAUGAACUGUUCAGCUCACUAUGUCUUCAGUCUCUCGUAUGGUUAAAAAUGGAUAAGAGCAAACAUUUGGGUCUGACUGCUGCCCAGUCAUGGUGUCUUCUAUGUAACACUCCACUUAUAUUUGGUGAUGCCAUUGAAAGGAAGAAUGAUCACUGGAACUUCCUCCUCCUUUUGAUGCAGAUUGUCAACAUAGUGUUCUCCUACACCAUAACUGAUUGAAUGAUGCUUUACUUGAAACAUCUGAUAAGUGACCCCCACACUCGGUACAAAGCAUUGCUUCCUGGUAAGAAGUUGAUUCCCAAGCACCGCUUGAUGAUACACUAUCAAAGAUGCAUUCAAAACAUUGGCCCUCUUAUCCAUACUUGGUGCAAGUGUUUUGAAGCCAAACACAAUUCGUUCAAAAGGUGUGGUUAAAAUUUUCAAAAAUCUCAGUCGUUUGUCGUGGCCUUUCACUAUGAAAAUUAUUAUUUUAGAAGAUUUGCAUUUGGCCCUACAACAUCAAAAACAAUCUGCAACUUGAAAGGUGGGGAGGAACGUGGUCAGGCAUGAUGUCUGCAAGCAUCUUCAAGUGUGUCAAGUACCAACUGGGUGAGAAGUUACGGUAUAGAGCACCAUGUUGGUGUGUUCAUAUGUACUGGAUGUAGCUUUGAUCGACCUGUGUUCAAGAAGAUCUGUGAUAUAAUAAAACACAAAGAAUGUGCUUUCAUAAUAGCUAUAAUGUAUCUGUGUAGGCUCUCAGUCGUACAGGAGUUGUCC
This is a long non-coding RNA of Dunckerocampus dactyliophorus (ringed pipefish), 2902 nucleotides long. RefSeq lists it as uncharacterized. The transcript has 10 exons. The record is from RefSeq and is a predicted model, not a curated record. NCBI's taxonomy places the organism in Eukaryota, Metazoa, Chordata, Actinopteri, Syngnathiformes, Syngnathidae.